CAGCCGCCACGGGAAAACGGAGGGAGCUAGCGUUGUUCGGAAUCACUGGGCGUAAAGCGCAUGUAGGCGGCUAUUCAAGUCAGGGGUGAAAGCCCGGGGCUCAACCCCGGAACUGCCUUUGAAACUAGAUAGCUUGAAUCUUGGAGAGGCGAGUGGAAUUCCGAGUGUAGAGGUGAAAUUCGUAGAUAUUCGGAAGAACACCAGUGGCGAAGGCGACUCGCUGGACAAGUAUUGACGCUGAGGUGCGAAAGCGUGGGGAGCAAACGGGAUUAGAGACCCCUGUAGUCCCUGUCUCUUAUAC
RNAcentral lists this ribosomal RNA (301 nucleotides) under uncultured bacterium. Its description in RNAcentral is "partial 16S ribosomal RNA". It matches the Rfam family "Bacterial small subunit ribosomal RNA", at positions 509 to 807 of the family's 1533-position model. The record is from RNAcentral.